Non-coding RNA from Pelobates cultripes (western spadefoot toad), 240 nucleotides. Lineage: Eukaryota; Metazoa; Chordata; Amphibia; Anura; Pelobatidae. The record is from the annotation of a GenBank genome assembly.
CUUGUUCCCCCUCCCCAGCGGCAGCCUAGCCCACCAAGGGGAGAUGAUAAGCUCCACACCGGUGCAGAUGGGACCGUGGUCUCUGUGCCCAAACCACAGGGUGUAGGGACAGUUGCUCCUGUCCUCCUGCAGCAGGGUUGUUUAUCCAAAGGGGAGACAGCCUGUCUUCCCCUCCAGCAGCAGCCCCAGGUCCGGAGUGAGGAGCCUACUACGCCGUUCCCUCACCUGGGCUCCAACCAG